Molecule: long non-coding RNA, 110 nt
Organism: Zingiber officinale
Lineage: Eukaryota; Viridiplantae; Streptophyta; Magnoliopsida; Zingiberales; Zingiberaceae
Exons: 2
Source: RefSeq, a predicted model, not a curated record
UUAAGACUGCUUUGGGAUCUAGUAACCCAUCUGCCCUCCGUGAAACUGUUGUUGAAGUACCAAAUGUCAGUUGGGAUGAUAUUGGUGGGCUGGAAAAUGUCAAGAGGGAA